UCGUGGGUGACUGCGAAUCUGAAGGAAGUCGGCGGCAAAUAUGGGAGCCCACGAAGAGGAACUGUAUAUAAGGCGGGAUAGUGUGGAUGAUGUUGCAAUACAAACAGAAGUCCAAUACUGCAAGGAUACUAUUACGUAGAUACAGGGGCUACAUCCAUAGAAAGUAGAUUGU
Pedobacter nyackensis is the source of this 172-nucleotide non-coding RNA. Lineage: Bacteria; Pseudomonadati; Bacteroidota; Sphingobacteriia; Sphingobacteriales; Sphingobacteriaceae. The record is from Rfam.